RNAcentral lists this small nuclear RNA (162 nucleotides) under Diaphorina citri (Asian citrus psyllid). RNAcentral's name for it is "U1 spliceosomal RNA". It matches the Rfam family "U1 spliceosomal RNA", at positions 1 to 126 of the family's 166-position model. Rfam says of the family: U1 is a small nuclear RNA (snRNA) component of the spliceosome (involved in pre-mRNA splicing). Its 5' end forms complementary base pairs with the 5' splice junction, thus defining the 5' donor site of an intron. Lineage: Eukaryota; Metazoa; Arthropoda; Insecta; Hemiptera; Psyllidae. The record is from RNAcentral.
AUACUUACCUGGCGUGGAGGCUACCUUGAUCAAGAAGGAGGUUCCUCCAGGGUGAGGCCCUUCCAUUGCACUUAGGUUGGGUAAGCAUCAAUCAAUAGGAUAAGGAAAGUCGUGUGAUGUUCACACCAGAUUUUUAGCAAUUACUUAAAAAAGCAUUGCUUA